Molecule: ribosomal RNA, 710 nt
Filed under: Heyndrickxia coagulans
Lineage: Bacteria; Bacillati; Bacillota; Bacilli; Caryophanales; Bacillaceae
Description: bacterial SSU rRNA
Rfam family: Bacterial small subunit ribosomal RNA
Source: RNAcentral
AGCGGCGGACGGGUGAGUAACACGUGGGCAACCUGCCUGUAAGAUCGGGAUAACGCCGGGAAACCGGGGCUAAUACCGGAUAGUUUUUUCCUCCGCAUGGAGGAAAAAGGAAAGACGGCUUCUGCUGUCACUUACAGAUGGGCCCGCGGCGCAUUAGCUAGUUGGUGGGGUAACGGCUCACCAAGGCAACGAUGCGUAGCCGACCUGAGAGGGUGAUCGGCCACAUUGGGACUGAGACACGGCCCAAACUCCUACGGGAGGCAGCAGUAGGGAAUCUUCCGCAAUGGACGAAAGUCUGACGGAGCAACGCCGCGUGAGUGAAGAAGGCCUUCGGGUCGUAAAACUCUGUUGCCGGGGAAGAACAAGUGCCGUUCGAACAGGGCGGCGCCUUGACGGUACCCGGCCAGAAAGCCACGGCUAACUACGUGCCAGCAGCCGCGGUAAUACGUAGGUGGCAAGCGUUGUCCGGAAUUAUUGGGCGUAAAGCGCGCGCAGGCGGCUUCUUAAGUCUGAUGUGAAAUCUUGCGGCUCAACCGCAAGCGGUCAUUGGAAACUGGGAGGCUUGAGUGCAGAAGAGGAGAGUGGAAUUCCACGUGUAGCGGUGAAAUGCGUAGAGAUGUGGAGGAACACCAGUGGCGAAGGCGGCUCUCUGGUCUGUAACUGACGCUGAGGCGCGAAAGCGUGGGGAGCAAACAGGUAAAAAAUCCCAU